GUAGGUGAACCUGCGGAAGGAUCAUUAACACGUUUACCACGUAUCUAACAAACUUCGUGAACCUUAAUGUCAGGGUCACUUCUGGCUGGCAGGGAAACCAAGGUGAUUCUUGGGAGUACUCGCUGUCUAGUCGUGAUCGUAAGAUUAUGCGGUUUGAGUUAUGCAGUCGACCACCCGUUGACACCGACGCGCACGUUCUGUGUGCGGAGCCGUAGACGGUCCCGUCUGUAGAUCAUUCCGCACGAAAUCACCGAACCAAUAUCACCCUUUGUCAAGCCGUCUACGAUUUAGCGGUUCCGCUGCUUCGUAGUCUCGGAUUGAUGUUACUAACUUAUUUUUCUUUGUUAUGAAGGACUGCAAACCGUGGACCUCACGGCUAGCUUUUCUUUAAUACAAACUCUGUACAACUCUUAGCAACGGAUAUCUUGGUUUCC
Molecule: unclassified non-coding RNA, 434 nt
Filed under: rhizosphere metagenome
Description: partial ribosomal RNA internal transcribed spacer region
Source: RNAcentral